Long non-coding RNA from Lolium perenne, 1529 nucleotides. RefSeq lists it as uncharacterized. The record is from RefSeq and is a predicted model, not a curated record. Lineage: Eukaryota; Viridiplantae; Streptophyta; Magnoliopsida; Poales; Poaceae.
CGACGAGUGGCAGGCCGUCUCCGGCGGCGACGUGGAGCGGCGUUCUCCGGUCGUAGUUCCUGCAGUUGGGGUCUACCCCGAAUCUGAGCAGCCUCCGCAGUAGGUCGAUCUUGCCUUCGGCGACCACCCUGCACAGGACCCUGAUGAUAUCUUCAUAUCCUCUUGAUGCAGCAACAUGCUGCAAGGCAAAGAUAAAGGAACAGGUUGAAGAGUCGGUCAUCUGAUUACACAGUUUACUUAGCAUAGCAGGCCAGCUCUUUCUCCAACUUCACUUUUGCCAUCAAGUUCUAAUCUAGUUAUCUUCCAUAUUUUCAUAAUUAGAAAAAGGUUCAUGGUGAAUUUGAGUAGAAUCUUGAUAGAUAGUUUUCACCACUAAGUUUUAGUAGAUAAUUUGUUGAUACUUGCAAUAGUUUGGCUGAUGAUUAAUCUGCAAGCGUUCACGUACCAAUGCAGUCCUCCCGUCGUAAUCCGGUUUACUCGGAUCUGCUCCUGCUCUGAUCAAGCCUUUUAACCGAAACAAGUCUCCAUGGUAGGCAGCAUUGUUGACUCCAAUGACCUGGUCUGCCUCUUGCUUUGCUAUCAGAUCACCGCGACAUCGCCGACUAUGUCGUAGGGAAGCAGUUCUGAGAUGAUCAUUUCCGACUCACCUUCUCCGAUGCCGAUCUCUUCCUGUCAGAGUACACGGAACAUGACAGUUGGCAGGUGAAAAGUCAGUCAUACAGCUCAGCUCUGUUUUCUCUUGAUCUAUGUAGGUUUCUUUCACAAACAGAUCGUGUGCAUAAAUCACGGAGGGUUAUAAAAUUGUUAAACUCGGCGAGGAGUAGUACCAGGCAUCCAUGUGCCACGAUGUAUAUCUGAUCCACCACGGUGCCUUGCUCCAAAAUAACUUCCCCAGGGAGGAAGAAUUCUUCAUGCAAUUUUACCACCUGAAAUUAAUUACCAAUUUAGACAUUGCAUAGAUAUUAUACUUAAAGAAAGCGCAUGGAGAGAAAAACUUGCAUGAAGUUCUUACAAUCUGGUUCAGGAAGUCCUCUGAGCACCCUUUGAACAGGUGCACCUUUGAAACUAUGUCCAUGUACAGUGUCUGGGAGAUGUGCAAAGCAAAAUGCUCAAUCUAAUUAAAAUUGCUCCAUAACAAAAUUUAUUUGUAUUAUUUGCUCCGAGAGAAAAUUAACCUGGACUGUACCUUUGAACGGAUUGCGACCGGUAUGUUGUCGUCGACGAUCCUGUCUCUCUUGUAGCUGCUCUCGUACUGCAGCACCAGGUGCGCCUUCACCUGGGAUCUGAUGUCGCUACCCAGCUUGUUCCUGUUCAUGUACCUUGUGAGCUCCGUCAUCUUGUCCCGGAAGCGCUCAGUCCUGGAGCCCUUGACGAUGAGCGCGGUCAUGUUCCCGAUGAGGAACUGCAACCUUGACGUUAUGGUCAUCUGGUGGUGAGACCGAGGCCGCGUACCGACUGUUGCCAUGGUGACGAUGGCGAGGUAGAGAGAGGUGAUGUAGCGGGUGAGCAGGUCGACAUGUCUGAAGUUG